AAUGAUCUAUGAAAGCCGGCUUAAGUCUG
Molecule: small RNA, 29 nt
Filed under: Bombyx mori (domestic silkworm)
Lineage: Eukaryota; Metazoa; Arthropoda; Insecta; Lepidoptera; Bombycidae
Description: ovarian small RNA-10825
Source: RNAcentral